UGGCGAACGGGUGAGUAACGCGUGAGGAACCUGCCUCAAAGAGGGGGACAACAGUUGGAAACGACUGCUAAUACCGCAUAAGCCCACGGGUCGGCAUCGACCUGAGGGAAAAGGAGCAAUCCGCUUUGAGAUGGCCUCGCGUCCGAUUAGCUAGUUGGUGAGGUAACGGCUCACCAAACCUUCGAUGGAUAGGGGUUCUGAGAGGAAGGUCCCCCACAUUGGAACUGAGACACGGUCCAA
This 240-nucleotide ribosomal RNA is filed under the name uncultured bacterium. Its description in RNAcentral is "partial 16S ribosomal RNA". It matches the Rfam family "Bacterial small subunit ribosomal RNA", at positions 96 to 334 of the family's 1533-position model. The record is from RNAcentral.